Molecule: small nucleolar RNA, 137 nt
Filed under: Echinops telfairi (small Madagascar hedgehog)
Lineage: Eukaryota; Metazoa; Chordata; Mammalia; Afrosoricida; Tenrecidae
Description: Small nucleolar RNA SNORA58 (ENSETEG00000026876.1)
Source: RNAcentral
AAGCAUAUCAGUAGACCUCACCUUGCUCUGCCUUGGUUUGGUGAGGGGGACAUAAUAUGCGAGAGGAGCUAUGGAGUGACUGCCAGAUAACAGCCAGGAGAAUCGGUGUUUGGCUGAACUGACGGACUCCCACAAGA